CACGCAUUCACUCCAGGCUGACUGUCCCCAUCUUUUCAUCAUAUUCCACGCAUUCACUCCAGGCCGACUGUCCCCAUCUUUCUAUCACAGUACCACGCAUUCCCUCCAGGCUGACUGUCCCCAUCUUUCCAUCACGGUUCCACGCAUUCACUCCAGGCUGACUGUCCCCAUCUUUCCAUCACGGUUCCACGCAUUCACUCCAGGCUGACUAUUUCCAUCUUUCCAUCAUUGUUCCCGCAUUCACUCCAGGCUGACUGUCCCCAUCUUUCCAUCACGGUGCC
This is a non-coding RNA of Pelobates cultripes (western spadefoot toad), 281 nucleotides long. The record is from the annotation of a GenBank genome assembly. NCBI's taxonomy places the organism in Eukaryota, Metazoa, Chordata, Amphibia, Anura, Pelobatidae.